AGACUGUCAUGGUGGGGAGGGCAGGGUAGGAGCAGGGUCAGGAGGCAGCUGGUCACAAGCACCCACAGUCAGGAUACAGAGAGAUGGGGGCUGGGCUCAGCUCUCUUUCUCCUUUUCAUUCAGUCCGUGGCUCCGGCCCUUGGCACGGUGCUGCCUACAUUCAGGGAGGAUUUUGUUUGCUAAGUUAAAUCUCUCUGGAGCUGUGUCUCCUCUGUGAUUCUGAAUCCAGCCAUGUUGACAAUGAAGAUGAACAUCCCACACUCCAUCUUGGACGUUUCCUGGAAAGACAUCAAUGCCCGGCCCGACAUGUGCGUUUUUUGAACAUCACUUUUCCGUCUUUCCUGCUGUCGGUACUCGGGUUAGCUUGGCUGCCAUGCUGACCCUUUGAUCAGAGCCUGCCACUCCUGCUCCCGGCUAGCUGCUUCAAACCCUGAGGCAGAGUUUCCGUGUUACCACCUAGAAGCUGCUGCAGCUUCACCUCAUGGGUGAAGGGUCCGACUCCUCUUCCUCCUGGACGCCCUCCAAGCUGCCUGGGUCAUGAUGAGCUCCCUGAACCUCUGGGGUGACUCCUGCUGCUGCAGCUAAUUGUGUUUGGUUCUGUCCUCCAGUAGAGCUGAGCAGAAGCAAGGAAAUCAAAUCAAAUCAAGAUGACAUUUAUUUAAUGUGGGCUAACCGUCAGGCGCCCCACUGGGGGCGUUGGCACCUCACUCUAAUUUGCUUCUCACCGAGCAGCCCCGCAAAUGGAAUAACCGGACUCACACUUUUUUGUGCACAUAAAGAAACCAAAACAAGACAGACAGCAUCCCAAGAACAAUGUCACACACAAAGAGGAAGGAACAGGUGCCACAUGGCUCAGGCCAUCCGGUUACCCGACCCCUCUGAACCCUGUGUUACCCAGCCUGGGUCUCCUCUGACCACACCCUCCAGAAGGGCUGGGAAGGACCAACUUGGAGUCUGU
This 958-nucleotide long non-coding RNA is filed under the name Meriones unguiculatus (Mongolian gerbil). Its description in RNAcentral is "lncRNA (ENSMUGG00000013662.1)". Lineage: Eukaryota; Metazoa; Chordata; Mammalia; Rodentia; Muridae. The record is from RNAcentral.